CGCGUAGGCGGCCUUCUUAGUCAGACGUGAAAUCCCCGGGCUUAACUCGGGAACUGCGUCUGAUACUGGAAGGCUCGAGUUCGGGAGAGGAAUGUGGAAUUCCAGGUGUAGCGGUGAAAUGCGUAGAUAUCUGGAGGAACACCGGUGGCGAAGGCGGCAUUCUGGACCGAAACUGACGCUGAGGCGCGAAAGCCAGGGGAGCAAACG
Molecule: ribosomal RNA, 207 nt
Filed under: uncultured bacterium
Lineage: Bacteria
Description: partial 16S ribosomal RNA
Rfam family: Bacterial small subunit ribosomal RNA
Source: RNAcentral